AUGAAGGGGACGGAAGCACGUGGUGAUCUUCAGAAACCUGUGACGUCACUUCCUAUCACUUGGCCUAUCACUCACCCCAGGUUAAGCAAUCCAGAGAGUGACCCCAUGUCCUCCCAGGAGCAAGUCUGCUGCUGCAGCCUUCAAGCAUGUGUUUGCCCCCUAAUAACGCUGGCAGUGAUUUUUAUUAUGUGCUUGGUCCUUGGAGGAGUGUAAGACAAUGUAUUCCAGAAUCCUCAGUUGCAAAGAUGGGGGAACUUCCAGCCAGAGAAGCCAAGAGCCUUGCCUAAAGUCACACAGCUGAGUGGCCUCAUUACAAACAGAACCCAGGAUUCUGGGCCCCACUCCUAAUCAUCCCUUAUCCUUUCCUAAAGUUCCACCUGUGCAUCUUUUCUCGCUUUAGAAAUUCUUAAUUUAUUAGCCACUGGGAGGUUAGAGGGAUUUGGAAAAUGGAGAUUAGUUGAAUUCAAAAAAAUGUUCAUUGGGCCAAUAAUCAGCCUACCAACUCAUUCAGUUGCAUAACAAGGAGAAUAAUGGCCCCCAAAGAUGUCCACGUCCUAAUUUUACACAAAUGAUUAAAUUAAGGACCUUGAGUUGGAGAGAUCGUCUGGGAUUAUCUGGGUGAGUUCAGUCUAAUCACAGGCAUCCUUUAAGUAAAGAAAAAUUUAAGGUCAGAGAGAGAAAGAUGAGGUGAUGCAAGAAGGGACAGAGAGCUCUGACAUUGCUGGUUUUAAAGGUAAAGGAAAGAGGCCAGAAGUCAAGGGGUGUAGACCAUGUCUAGACGCUGGAAAAGACAAGGGCAUGGUUUUUCACUUGGAGACUCAAGAAAGGAACAAAGCCCUGAAAAGUCUUCCAUUUUCCCCAGUGAGACCCAAGUUGAACUUCUGAUCCUUAGAAAGAAUUGUAAGAUACUAAAUUGGUAUAGUUUUAAGCCACUAAGUUUGUAGAAAAUUGUAAAAGCAGUAUGAAACUAAUACUAUAUCAUCAAAGUCCCAAUAACACUCCACACCCCUGUUUAUUUUCUCCUUUCUUUCCUUCAAAAAGAAGGAAAAGAAAUCACUUGUAGCUAAUUUUUAGGCUCAUUUGAAGCUCCACUUUGAGAUAAAAUCAGCCCUAAUAGUGAAGUAUCUAGAGGAAAACUUCGAAUACAUUAAGCCAUUGUAGUUCAGGGUACAGGGAGUGACACAGACAUUUUGUUGUAGCCCUUCUACAUUUU
RNAcentral lists this long non-coding RNA (1213 nucleotides) under Sus scrofa (pig). RNAcentral's name for it is "lncRNA (ENSSSCG00040025856.1)". The record is from RNAcentral. Lineage: Eukaryota; Metazoa; Chordata; Mammalia; Artiodactyla; Suidae.